UACGUAGGUGGCAAGCGUUGUCCGGAAUUAUUGGGCGUAAAGCGCGCGCAGGCGGUUCCUUAAGUCUGAUGUGAAAGCCCACGGCUCAACCGUGGAGGGUCAUUGGAAACUGGGGGACUUGAGUGCAGAAGAGGAAAGCGGAAUUCCACGUGUAGCGGUGAAAUGCGUAGAGAUGUGGAGGAACACCAGUGGCGAAGGCGGCUUUCUGGUCUGUAACUGACGCUGAGGCGCGAAAGCGUGGGGAGCAAACAGG
Molecule: ribosomal RNA, 253 nt
Filed under: uncultured bacterium
Lineage: Bacteria
Description: partial 16S ribosomal RNA
Rfam family: Bacterial small subunit ribosomal RNA
Source: RNAcentral